GUGUAUGACGAUGAGACUUACAUGAUGCAGGAUGUGGCGGAAGAACAAGAAGUUGAGACGGAGAAUUCAGAAACAGGGAGGUAGAAGAUCGACUUGAGAAACUGGGGACCUGGAAAGGAGCCCCAGUCCUAGGAUCACCUGAAGGUGAGACAGAUUGAGCCAGGAGGAAGACCAUGCUGUGGAAGCAUCAGUUCACAGCAGUAAUGCACACUGUACGGAUAAGACCAUUGAAGCUGCUGAAGCCCUGCUUCAUAUGGAGUCUCCUACCUGCUUGAGGGAUUCAAGAAGUCCCGAGUUUAUCCAUGCUGCGAUGAGGCCAGAUGUCAUUACGGAGACUGUAGUGGAGGUGUCAACAGAGGAGUCUGAACCAAUGGAUGCCUCGCCUAUCCCUACUUCACCAGACAGCCACGAACCAAUG
Molecule: long non-coding RNA, 418 nt
Filed under: Rattus norvegicus (Norway rat)
Lineage: Eukaryota; Metazoa; Chordata; Mammalia; Rodentia; Muridae
Description: long non-coding RNA NONRATT016370
Source: RNAcentral